AGAGUUUGAUCAUGGCUCAGGAUGAACGCUAGCUACAGGCUUAACACAUGCAAGUCGAGGGGAAACGACAUCGAAAGCUUGCUUUUGAUGGGCGUCGACCGGCGCACGGGUGAGUAACGCGUAUCCAACCUGCCCACCACUUGGGGAUAACCUUGCGAAAGUAAGACUAAUACCCAAUGACGUCUCUAGAAGACAUCUGAAAGAGAUUAAAGAUUUAUCGGUGAUGGAUGGGGAUGCGUCUGAUUAGCUUGGUUGGCGGGGUAACGGCCCGCCAAGGCUACGAUCAGUAGGGGUUCUGAGAGGAAGGUCCCCCANAUUGGAACUGAGACACGGUACCAAACUCCGUACGGGAGGCA
This 356-nucleotide ribosomal RNA is filed under the name uncultured bacterium. RNAcentral's name for it is "bacterial SSU rRNA". It matches the Rfam family "Bacterial small subunit ribosomal RNA", at positions 8 to 350 of the family's 1533-position model. The record is from RNAcentral.